CGGUGUAAAUUUUCGACUGUUAUUGUUAUGAAAUGAAAGAGUUUGUAUAUAGAGUUUGGACAAUUUGUGCAUUCUAAUUAGUGAAAACACAUAAGCCAAGAAUGGCCAUUGUUUUGCUGGAUAAAAGAAACAAAAAUGAUUAGUCGCUAUGAAACGACGAUAGAAAAAAACAAACUGCAUAACUUUGCUAGUUCAUGAACUGUUUCGGGUGUCGCUGUUUGGUUUUGCCGCAAAUGAACGCCAUGAACGAUUUUCAUUCCUCAAAUAUGUGUCUCGUGCAAAAAAAUACCGUGUAAAAAAUUCGUUUUGUGUCGAGAAACCGUGUUAAAAAAAAAUCCGCGCUAUCUCGAAAAAGAGUGCAAAAAUCUGCAAAAGAUUUUUUUUAACAAAUAUUUGGUUAUGGAAUUUAAUAAUACUGUUGGACAUAUUCAAUGUACAACCUGUAUCUACACUAUAAUUAAGGAAAUUCAUGGCUAUAUCAUAAAAAUAUUUAGUUUAACUUGGUAAUAUGAAAGUUUGACGACGAAAAUUUUCAAAUGAGACAUUCCACGUGCGAUAUUUAAACUAUUCGUAUCUCUGUUGAAUUUUGAAUGAAACAUAUGCUCAAAGACUGAAAGCUAAAGCCAGCAGGAUUGGACUUGCCAUCAACGUUUCGAAGACAAAAUACAUGAGAGAAAGAGGUUCUAGAGACGACAAUGUGAACCACCCACCCGAGUUCGGAUUGACGGUGACGAAAUCGAGAUGGUCGACGAAUUCGUGUAUUUGGGCUCACUGGUAACCGACGACAAUGAUAACAGCAGAGAAAUUCAGAGACGGAUCUUGGCGGGAAAUCGUGUCUACUUUGGACUCCGGAGGACGCUCCGGUCGAACGAAAUUCGCCGCCGCACGAAGUUGAUUAUCUACAAGACGCUGAUUAGAUCGGUGGUCCUCUACGGCCACGAGACCUGGACUAUGCUCGUGGAGGACCAACCGCCCUUGGAGUUUUCGAACGAAAGGUGUUGCGUACCAUCUAUGGUGGCAUGCAGAUGGAAGACGGAACGUUGCGCAGGCGAAUGAACCAUGAGUUGUAUCAGCUGCACAUUCGUUGUAUUGGUAAGAACUUUCAUGAAAAAUAACGGAUCAAAGACAAAAAUAUCCACAAAUUAGAUCCAGCAAAAGAAGUCCCAAAGUACCCACUCUCGAUGGGGGAUGCAACUACAAUGUGUCUUCUAACUUAUCGUCGUCCAUAUUUGGAUAUACUGAGUAGUUUGAACCAUUUCUUUUUCACAGUAUUCGUCUGUAUAGGACUUAUUUAUCCAUAUUUCCUGCACGAGAAUUCAGAACGAAACAAUGUGAAAGUUAUAAGGAUGAAUGGAAAGAGACUGCAUUGCAAUCAACUGAAUGCACGGCUUUUAUGCUAUCGACAUAGCCUAGAUAUUUCAAACUAUUCACUUCAAUGCAAAUAAAAACUUUGAAAUAUCUACCUGUCUCAUUCACGAAUCGCAUUCUCCCUGUCGUUCUCUGUUCAAGGGGCUUGAAAGCACACGUGACCUUGUCUCACUUUACUAUAUUCAAUUGCGCGUUAAAAUACUGGACCAGUAAAUUCUAUUCUGUACAUAAACCUUUUUUUCGGGAAUAUGUGACCAAAAAGUAAACUUCGAAUUUCAAAGCAAAUUGAACGUUCCAGGUUCCUGAUAACUAAUUAAGGUCCAACAAUAAAGUAGAAACACCAGAUAAACUUAAAACGACGCCGUCAAGUAAAGAAGCAUGAAAACAAAAAGGAUAAAACCAAAAAAAGAUGGAAGCCAUAGAGACCAGAGAUGCCAGAACAUUAUGUAGCUGAAUUUUACAUAUCUAAGAAGUUGAUACUUUGAACACCCUAACCACAAGGACCACCCUAAUUCAACUAAUAUAAAAAAAUUGGUAAGAAAGUUCUAAGAAAGUUUGCCGAAGAUACUAUAUAUCUAAAACUAACGGUUUAGGCGCAAACAGUUUUGUCUUCCUAAAUACAGCUUUGGGACCAUAGUGCAGUGCGACAAAAAGCAAUCUGUUGUAUCAUUAGGGAUCAUUGUUC
This is a long non-coding RNA of Topomyia yanbarensis, 2053 nucleotides long. RefSeq lists it as uncharacterized. The record is from RefSeq and is a predicted model, not a curated record. NCBI's taxonomy places the organism in Eukaryota, Metazoa, Arthropoda, Insecta, Diptera, Culicidae. The transcript has 3 exons.